GACGAACGCUGGCGGCGUGCCUAAUACAUGCAAGUUGAGCGAUGAAGAUUGGUGCUUGCACCAAUUUGGAGAGCAGCGAACGGGUGAGUAACGCGUGGGUAAUCUGCCUUUAAGAGGGGGACAACAUUUGGAAACGAAUGCUAAUACCGCAUAACAACUUUAAACAUAAGGUUUAAGAUUGAAAGAUGCAAUUGCAUCACUCAAAGAUGAUCCCGCGUUGUAUUAGCUAGUUGGUGAGGUAAAGGCUCACCAAGGCGAUGAUACAUAGCCGACCUGAGAGGGUGAUCCGGCACCAUUGGAACUGGGCACCGCCCCAACUCCUACGGGAGGGAGCAGUAGGGAAUCUUCGGCAAGGGGCGAAAGUCUGACCGAGCAACGCCGGGGGAGGGGAGAAGGGUCUUGGAUCGGAAAACUCUGUUGAUAGAGAAGGACGUUGGUGGGAGUGGAAAGCGCAUCAAGUGACGGUAACUACCCAGAAAGGGACGGCUAACUACGUG
RNAcentral lists this ribosomal RNA (497 nucleotides) under uncultured bacterium. RNAcentral describes it as "partial 16S ribosomal RNA". It matches the Rfam family "Bacterial small subunit ribosomal RNA", at positions 28 to 507 of the family's 1533-position model. The record is from RNAcentral.